AUGCAAGGUUAAGCAGCAAAUGUGGAGCCGCAGCGAAAGCGAGUCUGAAUAGGGCGUUGAGUAUGUGGACGUAGACCCGAAACCAGGUGAUCUACCCUUGGUCAGGUUGAAGUUCAGGUAACACUGAAUGGAGGACCGAACCGACUUACGUUGAAAAGUGAGCGGAUGAACUGAGGGUAGCGGAGAAAUUCCAAUCGAACUUGGAGAUAGCUGGUUCUCUCCGAAAUAGCUUUAGGGCUAGCCUCAAG
Molecule: ribosomal RNA, 248 nt
Filed under: Mycobacterium tuberculosis
Lineage: Bacteria; Bacillati; Actinomycetota; Actinomycetes; Mycobacteriales; Mycobacteriaceae
Description: partial 23S ribosomal RNA
Rfam family: Bacterial large subunit ribosomal RNA
Source: RNAcentral